CCUACGGGAGGCAGCAGUGGGGAAUAUUGCACAAUGGGCGGAACCCUGAUGCAGCGACGCCGCGUGAGUGAAGAAGUAUUUCGGUAUGUAAAGCUCUAUCAGCAGGGAAGAAAAUGACGGUACCUGACUAAGAAGCACCGACUAACUACGGGCCAGCAGCCGCAGGAAUACGUAGGGGGCAAGCGUUAUCCGGAUUUACUGGGUGUUAAGGGAGCGUAGACGGCAGAGCAAGUCUGAAGUGAAAGCCCGGGGCCGAAAUGCGGGACUGCUUUUGAAACUGCCCGGCUAGAGUGCUGGAGAGGUAAGCGGAAUGCGGGGUGUAGCGGUGAAAUGCGUAGAUAUUAGGAGGAACACCAGUGGCGAAGGCGGCUUACUGGACAGUAACUGACGUUGAGGCUCGAAAGCGUGGGGAGCGAACAGGAUUAGAUACCCGAGUAGUC
RNAcentral lists this ribosomal RNA (440 nucleotides) under uncultured bacterium. RNAcentral describes it as "partial 16S ribosomal RNA". It matches the Rfam family "Bacterial small subunit ribosomal RNA", at positions 338 to 795 of the family's 1533-position model. The record is from RNAcentral.